GAUGAACGCUGGCGGCGUGCUUAACACAUGCAAGUCGAACGAUGAAGCCCAGCUUGCUGGGUGGAUUAGUGGCGAACGGGUGAGUAACACGUGAGUAACCUGCCCUUAACUCUGGGAUAAGCCUGGGAAACUGGGUCUAAUACCGGAUAGGAGCGUCCACCGCAUGGUGGGUGUUGGAAAGAUUUAUCGGUUUUGGAUGGACUCGCGGCCUAUCAGCUUGUUGGUGAGGUAAUGGCUCACCAAGGCGACGACGGGUAGCCGGCCUGAGAGGGUGACCGGCCACACUGGGACUGCGGCACGGCCCAGACUCCUACGGGAGGCAGCAGUGGGGAAUAUUGCACAAUGGGCGCAAGCCUGAUGCAGCGACGCCGCGUGAGGGAUGACGGCCUUCGGGUUGUAAACCUCUUUCAGUAGGGAAGAAGCGAAAGUGACGGUACCUGCAGAAGAAGCACCGGCUAACUACGUG
This 466-nucleotide ribosomal RNA is filed under the name uncultured bacterium. RNAcentral's name for it is "partial 16S ribosomal RNA". It matches the Rfam family "Bacterial small subunit ribosomal RNA", at positions 28 to 507 of the family's 1533-position model. The record is from RNAcentral.